This 32-nucleotide non-coding RNA is filed under the name Mus musculus (house mouse). Lineage: Eukaryota; Metazoa; Chordata; Mammalia; Rodentia; Muridae. The record is from RNAcentral.
UUAACUUAGGACUCCCUAAGCACACUGGCUGU